Molecule: ribosomal RNA, 1926 nt
Filed under: Chloromyxum careni
Lineage: Eukaryota; Metazoa; Cnidaria; Myxozoa; Bivalvulida; Chloromyxidae
Description: LSU rRNA
Rfam family: Eukaryotic large subunit ribosomal RNA
Source: RNAcentral
ACCUCCACUCAGGCAAGAUUACGCCGUGAACUAAAGCAUUUCAGUAACGGCAGGAAUAGAAAAUAACAAUGAUUCCCUCAGUAACUGCGAGUGAAGUGGGAAGAGCCCAACGUUGAAAGCUGCAUCCCUAGCGGGAUGCCGCGUUGUAACGUAUAGACCCACGUAUCGAGAUGGUUACCUUUGUCAAAGUUACACAGAAUGGUGCGCCAGAGAGGGUGAUAGCCCCGUGUGUGACAUGGGUAUGCGGAUUUGUACCAUCAAGCGUCGUGGUGUCCAAGAGUCAGAUUGUUUGGGAAUGCAGUCUAAAUCGGGUGGUAAACUCCAUCCAAGGCUAAAUACAGACAUGAGACCGAUAGCGAACAAGUACCGUGAGGGAAAGUUGAAAAGUACUCUGAAAAGAAAGUGAAAAGUACGUGAAACCGUUGAUGGGGAAGCGGACGGUGUAAUCGAAGUAAUUAACUAAGGCACCCCAUACAACAGAUGAUGUGUGUACGUGAGUGCUGCAUCAUCUGAAUUUUAUGGAUUAUUGUUAAUUACGCGCUGAGCUCAUCGUUAGACACAACUGCCGCCCUGUGUGCACUGUCAAUGUGUUGUGAAUGCCUUUGCUAGGGCAAUUCGGAUGUGUUGGAGUGUAUACUUGAUAAAUAUGAGUGUGUUCAGGUGUAGUGAGAAACGAUGCUGUGCAUAUGCGUGUGUACACAUGUAGUAUUUGGCGUUUGCAUUGAUGAGAGAUUUGUUUGGCCAUUUCGUUUUGUGCAUCGCUGCCUUGAAUAAAGGAGAAACAGCGGUGCAUAAAGGUAUGGCUGCAGGUUUGUCAUGCGCCUAAACGUAUAUUACGUGUGUAUACGGCUGACAAUGGUGUUUACCACGCCGCGCAUGUAUUCUCAGCGAGAUAUGCCACUGUCCGACCCGUCUUGAAACACGGACCAAGGAGGAUAAUGCAUACGCAAGUCGAGGAGUUGAGAAACUCUAAGGCGCAACGAAAGUGACAGACAUGCAUACACACAUCUGUGUGUGUGUGUGUACGCGUGAGAACCUCGUACGUGCCUGCGCGCGCGUCUUGUGCGCGCGCGUAUGUGUGUUGUAAGCGAGGCGCAUCACAGGCCGGUUUGAACACUUGACUAGAACCGAGUUGAAGCGUAUGUGCUAUGACCCGAAAGAUGGUGAUCUAUGCAUGAGUAGAGUGAAGCCAGAGGAAACUCUGGUGGAGGCUCGCAGCGGUUCUGACGUGCAAAUCGAUCGUCAAACUUGUGUAUAGGGGCGAAAGACUAAUCGAACCAUCUAGUAGCUGGUUCCCUCCGAAAUAUCCCUCAGGAUAGCAAGAGCUCGGAUCCACACAGUUUCAUCAGGUAGAGCGAAUGAUUAGAGGAAUUGGGGUCAUAACUGGCUUCGACCUAUUCUCAAACUGCCAACUGGUGAUGACAUGCCGUGGCGUAACAGCCAACCUCCCCGGAAUACAUGUGUGUUACUUGAAUGAACACAGGGGCAUAACUCGCACGGCACUGUGCGUUGUUGAAUGUGAGAGCUCUUAGUGGGCCAUUUUUGGUAAGCAGAACUGGCGAUGCGGGAUGAACCGAGAGUUGGGUUAAGGUGCCCAAGUGAACGCCAAUGGACACCAUAAAAGGAGUUGGUCGAUGAAGACAGCAGGACGGUGGCCCUGAAAGUAGGAAUCCGCUAAGGAGUGUCUAACAACUCACCUGCCGAAUCGACUGGCCCUGAAAAUGGAUGGCGCUAUAGCGUUCCACCGAUACCCAACCGUAGAUUCGAGAAAUGUGCACAAUCUACGGGUAGGAGGGUGUGAUGGCUGCCGCGAAGAUUGAGUGUGAGCUCAAUUGGAGCGACCAUCAGUACAGAUCUUGGUAGUAGUAGCAGCUUAUUGAAGUGAGUGGCACAACCUUCAAGGCCGAAGUGGAGAAGGGUUCCUCG